Molecule: ribosomal RNA, 468 nt
Filed under: uncultured bacterium
Lineage: Bacteria
Description: bacterial SSU rRNA
Rfam family: Bacterial small subunit ribosomal RNA
Source: RNAcentral
GACGAACGCUGGCGGCGCGCCUAACACAUGCAAGUCGAACGAGAGAUGAGGAGCUUGCUCUUCAAAUCGAGUGGCGAACGGGUGAGUAACGCGUGAGGAACCUGCCUCAAAGAGGGGGACAACAGUUGGAAACGACUGCUAAUACCGCAUAAGCGCACAGUACCGCAUGGUACAGAGCGAAAAACUCCGGUGGUAUAGGAUGGACCCGCGUCUGAUUAGUUAGUUGGCGGUGUAACGGACCACCAAGACGACGAUCAGUAGCCGGCUUGAGAGAGUGAACGGCCACAUUGGGACUGAGACACGGCCCAAACUCCUACGGGAGGCAGCAGUGGGGAAUAUUGCACAAUGGGGGAAACCCGUGAUGCAGCAACGCCGCGUGAGUGAAGAAGUAUUUCGGUAUGUAAAGCUCUAUCAGCAGGGAAGAAAAAUAGACGGUACCUGACUAAGAAGCCCCGGCUAACUAACGUG